GAUGGCAAAGAGAAACCUCACUGGCAUAUGGAACUUCACGAAUCCUGGAGUGGUUAGCCAUAACGAGAUCCUGGAGAUGUACCGUGACUAUAUUGACCCAAGCUUCAAGUGGAACAACUUCACAAUCGAGGAGCAAUCGGAGGUCAUUAUCGCUCCACGAAGCAACAAUGAGCUCGAUGCUUCAAAAUUGAGCAAGGAAUUCCCUGAAAUGAAGUCCAUCAAGGAGUCCCUCAUUGAGAAUGUCUUCAAGCCAAAUAGGAAGACACCAGUAGCUUGAAGAUUUAGAGAAAAGAUCCAAUUUUUACAUGAUUUUUCUUUGUCUUGUUCAAUGAACCAACUAUGUUUUCAGUUCUAAUAUUUGGGGUUGGCUUUCUCUCUUCUCUCUUCACUAUUUCUGAUUUUCGGUAUCUUUUUCCUUUAUUGUUGUAUUUGAGUGUUGUAACGGUAU
Molecule: unclassified non-coding RNA, 448 nt
Filed under: Hevea brasiliensis (rubber tree)
Lineage: Eukaryota; Viridiplantae; Streptophyta; Magnoliopsida; Malpighiales; Euphorbiaceae
Source: RNAcentral